RNAcentral lists this ribosomal RNA (497 nucleotides) under uncultured bacterium. Its description in RNAcentral is "partial 16S ribosomal RNA". It matches the Rfam family "Bacterial small subunit ribosomal RNA", at positions 28 to 507 of the family's 1533-position model. The record is from RNAcentral.
GAUGAACGCUGGCGGCGUGCCUAAUACAUGCAAGUCGAGCGAACAGACGAGGAGCUUGCUCCUCUGACGUUAGCGGCGGACGGGUGAGUAACACGUGGAUAACCUACCUAUAAGACUGGGAUAACUUCGGGAAACCGGAGCUAAUACCGGAUAAUAUAUUGAACCGCAUGGUUCAAUAGUGAAAUACGGUUUUGCUGUCACUUAUAGAUGGAUCCGCGCCGCAUUAGCUAGUUGGUAAGGUAACGGCUUAUCAAGGCAACGAUGCGUAGCCGACCUGAGAGGGUGGUCGGCCACACUGGAACUGGGCCACGGUCCAUACUCCUACGGGAGGCAGCAGUAGGGAAUCUUCCGCAAUGGGCGAAAGCCUGACGGAGCAACGCCGCGUGAGUGAUGAAGGUCUUCGGAUCGUAAAACUCUGUUAUUAGGGAAGAACAAAUGUGUAAGUAACUAUGCACGUCUUGACGGUACCUAAUCAGAAAGCCACGGCUAACUACGUG